UAGUCCACGCCGUAAACGAUGAAUGCUAGGUGUCGGGGGUCGAACCUCGGUGCCGCAGUUAACGCAAUAAACAUUCCACCUGGGGAGUACGACCGCAAGGCUGAAACUCAAAGGAAUUGUCGGGGGCCCGCACAAGCGGUGGAGCAUGUGGUUUAAUUCGAAGCAACGCGAAGAACCUUACCAAAUCUUGACAUCCCAUUGACCGGCAUUUAAUUUUGCCUUUUCUUCGGAACAAUGGUGACAGGUGGUGCAUGGUUGUCGUCAGCUCGUGUCGUGAGAUGUUGGGUUAAGUCCCGCAACGAGCGCAACCCUUAUCUUUAGUAGCCAGCAUUUCGGAUGGGAACUCUAGAGAGACUGCCAGGGAUAACCUGGAGGAAGGUGGGGAUGACGUCAAAUCAUCAUGCCCCUUAUGAUUUGGGCUACACACGUGCUACAAUGGUAGAUACAAAGGGAAGCCAAAGAGUGAUCUGGAGCAAACCCCAUAAAGUCUAUCCCAGUUCGGAUUGUAGUCUGCAA
RNAcentral lists this ribosomal RNA (516 nucleotides) under uncultured bacterium. RNAcentral describes it as "bacterial SSU rRNA". It matches the Rfam family "Bacterial small subunit ribosomal RNA", at positions 791 to 1310 of the family's 1533-position model. The record is from RNAcentral.